Molecule: long non-coding RNA, 1151 nt
Organism: Hydractinia symbiolongicarpus
Lineage: Eukaryota; Metazoa; Cnidaria; Hydrozoa; Anthoathecata; Hydractiniidae
Exons: 2
Source: RefSeq, a predicted model, not a curated record
UUUCAAUCUUGAUAAUUUCAUCUCUAAAACGUUUCUCUAACAGGGGAACUACUGUGUGUUGGUUUUAACAUUUACGGUCACAGCUAGCUAUCUAGCUAGCUAUCUUAAUAGUGAGUAUCUCUCAGUAUGAAUUUUUUUAUGUACAAUUCAAAUAAAGCUAGGGAAUUUUGAAGCCCAUAAAUUUUUACUAAUUCGUUUUGUCUGAUGGUUGAAUGAUAAAGGUGUGCAUCAUGUUGUUAAUUAGAUAGACACGGCUGUUUCGCUACGGUCAAACCGCGGACAAAAUUAAGAUGGCUUCCACAAUUUUUUUGGAAAUUUUGUAUUUUUAUCAUUUUUUAAAUUAUUGAAACUUUUUUUGUGUUGUUUUAAUUUUACUGCAUUAAAAAGUAUUAAAACGAUCUACUUUUCCCCUUUUUAAAUAUAUAAAUAUGUUAUACAUGUGUUUUAUAAAUUUCGAGUUAUUUCGUCAAACAAAACACACAAAACUAAAAAAAAACAUUAUUUUUGGCGAAAGUAUACCAUCUUUCCAACCUUGUGCCAACGUCGCGCUACUAGCUAUGGACUUGAAAAUUGGUAUGGGGGGCCUGGAAACAUGGUUCUAUUGGCCGGUACCGUGCACCGUUCGUCUCGCAAACUAUAACCUACUUAAAUUUUAAGUUAAAGUCUUCUUUAGGCACUAAAAAAGAGGAGAAAAAGUUGCCAAAGUGGUGCACGGCGAUUUGAUGUAGUGUGAUCCCUUUUCUGUCUAAUUAAAUAAUUAUCUAAACUUCUAAGCAAGUCACAGUGAUGGCGUUUAAUGUUUUGGUAGGUAUGGUUUUUCCCAGCAAAAUUACGGCAACCCGGUGUUUACUUUUGACUUGAUUGCUCGACCCGGGCAUCCUAAUCCGAAACCGGGAUUUUUUGAAAAUGUUGGAAUAAGCGAGACAACGGUGUCUUAGCAAUUUUGAAGCUAGCUAAAGUUUGGCAGAGCACGAGUUAAGACUUUGGUGGGCUUUUUCAAGAUAAAAUUGUUGAAAUCAAAGAUGUUUAUGGCUAGCUAGCUAAUCUUGGCUUUAUCACAAGAUUGGGUGCUAUUUUAUACAAUUUAUAAAGAAACACAACAUGAUUGCUUUGUAUAUAUUUAAUGUAUAUAAUAAACUAUUUAUGCACAA